GGGUGAAGCGGAGAAUUUAAGCCCCAGUAAACGGCGGUGGUAACUAUAACCAUCCUAAGGUAGCGAAAUUCCUUGUCGGGUAAGUUCCGACCUGCACGAAUGGCGUAACGACUUCUCAACUGUCUCAACCAUAGACUCGGCGAAAUUGCAUUACGAGUAAAGAUGCUCGUUACGCGCGGCAGGACGAAAAGACCCCGGGACCUUCACUACAACUUGGUAUUGGUGCUCGAUACGGUUUGUGUAGGAUAGGUGGGAGACUGUGAAGCGGUCACGCCAGUGAUUGUGGAGUCGUUGUUGAAAUACCACUCUGAUCGUAUUGGGCCUCUAACCUCGAACCGUCUAUCCGGUUCAGGGACAGUGCCUGGUGGGUAGUUUAACUGGGGCGGUUGC
This 390-nucleotide ribosomal RNA is filed under the name Mycolicibacterium rufum. RNAcentral's name for it is "partial 23S ribosomal RNA". It matches the Rfam family "Bacterial large subunit ribosomal RNA", at positions 1897 to 2286 of the family's 2925-position model. The record is from RNAcentral. Lineage: Bacteria; Bacillati; Actinomycetota; Actinomycetes; Mycobacteriales; Mycobacteriaceae.